UCUUCCCUGGCAGCGGUGCUCUGGCUGGCAACCCACUGGAAAUUGAUAGAGAGCUUCUGCGUAGUGAGCUGGACUUUGCUUCCAUCAGCCUGAACAGCAUGGAUGCCGUCAGCGAGAGAGACUUUGUGGUGGAAUUCCUCUCUGUUGCCACCCUGCUGAUGAUCCACCUGAGCAAGAUGGCUGAAGAUCUCAUCCUCUACAGUACCAGCGAGUUUGGCUUUCUAACCCU
This is a long non-coding RNA of Aptenodytes forsteri (emperor penguin), 229 nucleotides long. RefSeq lists it as uncharacterized. NCBI's taxonomy places the organism in Eukaryota, Metazoa, Chordata, Aves, Sphenisciformes, Spheniscidae. The transcript is spliced from 3 exons. The record is from RefSeq and is a predicted model, not a curated record.